UACGAAGGGGGCUAGCGUUGUUCGGAAUUACUGGGCGUAAAGCGCACGUAGGCGGAUUGUUAAGUCAGGGGUGAAAUCCUGGAGCUCAACUCCAGAACUGCCUUUGAUACUGGCGAUCUCGAGUCCGGGAGAGGUGAGUGGAACUGCGAGUGUAGAGGUGAAAUUCGUAGAUAUUCGCAAGAACACCAGUGGCGAAGGCGGCUCACUGGCCCGGUACUGACGCUGAGGUGCGAAAGCGUGGGGAGCAAACAGG
Molecule: ribosomal RNA, 253 nt
Filed under: uncultured bacterium
Lineage: Bacteria
Description: partial 16S ribosomal RNA
Rfam family: Bacterial small subunit ribosomal RNA
Source: RNAcentral